GAACGAUGAACCACUUCGGUGGGGAUUAGUGGCGAACGGGUGAGUAACACGUGGGCAAUCUGCCCUGCACUCUGGGACAAGCCCUGGAAACGGGGUCUAAUACCGGAUAUGACCGUCUUGGGCAUCCUUGAUGGUGUAAAGCUCCGGCGGUGCAGGAUGAGCCCGCGGCCUAUCAGCUUGUUGGUGAGGUAACGGCUCACCAAGGCGACGACGGGUAGCCGGCCUGAGAGGGCGACCGGCCACACUGGGACUGAGACACGGCCCAGACUCCUACGGGAGGCAGCAGUGGGGAAUAUUGCACAAUGGGCGAAAGCCUGAUGCAGCGACGCCGCGUGAGGGAUGACGGCCUUCGGGUUGUAAACCUCUUUCAGCAGGGAAGAAGCGCAAGUGACGGUACCUGCAGAAGAAGCGCCGGCUAACUACGUGCCAGCAGCCCGGGGGUAAUUCA
This 448-nucleotide ribosomal RNA is filed under the name Streptomyces sp. HVXM-7-1. RNAcentral describes it as "bacterial SSU rRNA". It matches the Rfam family "Bacterial small subunit ribosomal RNA", at positions 64 to 527 of the family's 1533-position model. The record is from RNAcentral. Lineage: Bacteria; Bacillati; Actinomycetota; Actinomycetes; Kitasatosporales; Streptomycetaceae.